GAUGAACGCUGGCGGCGUGCCUAAUACAUGCAAGUCGAGCGAACGGACGAGAAGCUUGCUUCUCUGAUGUUAGCGGCGGACGGGUGAGUAACACGUGGAUAACCUACCUAUAAGACUGGGAUAACUUCGGGAAACCGGAGCUAAUACCGGAUGAUAUUUUGAACCACAUGGUUCAAAAGUGAAAGACGGUCUUGCUGUCACUUAUAGAUGGAUCCGCGCUGCAUUAGCUAGUUGGUAAGGUAACGGCUUACCAAGGCAACGAUGCAUAGCCGACCUGAGAGGGUGAUCGGCCACACUGGAACUGAGACACGGUCCAGACUCCUACGGGAGGCAGCAGUAGGGAAUCUUCCGCAAUGGGCGAAAGCCUGACGGAGCAACGCCGCGUGAGUGAUGAAGGUCUUCGGAUCGUAAAACUCUGUUAUUAGGGAAGAACAUAUGUGUAAGUAACUGUGCACAUCUUGACGGUACCUAAUCAGAAAGCCACGGCUAACUACGUGC
RNAcentral lists this ribosomal RNA (498 nucleotides) under uncultured bacterium. RNAcentral's name for it is "partial 16S ribosomal RNA". It matches the Rfam family "Bacterial small subunit ribosomal RNA", at positions 28 to 508 of the family's 1533-position model. The record is from RNAcentral.